Molecule: transfer RNA, 72 nt
Filed under: archaeon
Lineage: Archaea
Description: tRNA-Pro
Rfam family: tRNA
About the family: Transfer RNA (tRNA) molecules are approximately 80 nucleotides in length. Their secondary structure includes four short double-helical elements and three loops (D, anti-codon, and T loops).
Source: RNAcentral
GCCGGAAUAGUCUAGUGGUAUGAUUCCUGUUUUGGGUACAGGAGGUCGCGAGUUCGAGUCUCGCUUCCGGCC